UACGUAAGGACCGAGCGUUGUCCGGAAUCAUUGGGCGUAAAGGGUACGUAGGCGGUUAGAAAAGUUAGAAGUGAAAGGCUAUAGCUCAACUAUAGUAAGCUUUUAAAACUGUUUAACUUGAGAGAUGGAAGGGAAAGCGGAAUUCCAUGUGUAGCGGUGAAAUGCGUAGAUAUAUGGAGGAACACCAGUGGCGAAGGCGGCUUUCUGGUCUGUAACUGACGCUGAGGCUCGAAAGCGUGGGUAGCAAACAGG
RNAcentral lists this ribosomal RNA (252 nucleotides) under uncultured bacterium. RNAcentral describes it as "partial 16S ribosomal RNA". It matches the Rfam family "Bacterial small subunit ribosomal RNA", at positions 524 to 776 of the family's 1533-position model. The record is from RNAcentral.